UCCUCAGUAGCUCAGUGAUAGAGCGGUCGACUGCUAAUUGACUAAUUGUAGGUUUGUAUCCUACUUGGGGAG
Non-coding RNA from Datura stramonium (jimsonweed), 72 nucleotides. The record is from the annotation of a GenBank genome assembly. NCBI's taxonomy places the organism in Eukaryota, Viridiplantae, Streptophyta, Magnoliopsida, Solanales, Solanaceae.